GAGUUUGAUCCUGGCUCAGAUUGAACGCUGGCGGCGUGCUUAACACAUGCAAGUCGAACGCGAAAGUGGCUUCGGCCACGAGUAGAGUGGCGCACGGGUGAGUAACGCGUGGAUAAUCUGCCUCUGCAAUCGGAAUAACGACUGGAAACGGUCGCUAAUACCGGAUACGCUUAAGUUUUACCUCUUAAGGAAAGAUGACCUCUAUUUAUAAGUUAUCGUGCAGAGAUGAGUCCGCGUCCCAUUAGCUUGUUGGCGGGGUAACGGCCCACCAAGGCGACGAUGGGUAGCCGAUUUAAGAGGAUGAUCGGCCACAUUGGAACUGAAACACGGUCCAAACUCCUACGGGAGGCAGCAGUGGGGAAUAUUGCGCAAUGGGCGAAAGCCUGACGCAGCGACGCCGCGUGAGGGAUGAAGGUCUUCGGAUCGUAAACCUCUGUCAGAAGGGAAAAAUGUACAGUGCUCCAAUCAACAUUGUAUUGAUGGUACCUUCAGAGGAAGCACCGGCUAACUCCGUGCCAGCCGCCGCGGUAAUAC
RNAcentral lists this ribosomal RNA (534 nucleotides) under uncultured bacterium. RNAcentral describes it as "bacterial SSU rRNA". It matches the Rfam family "Bacterial small subunit ribosomal RNA", at positions 9 to 526 of the family's 1533-position model. The record is from RNAcentral.